UAUGUACUUCUUCCGUCCCAAAAUUCUUGUUUUAGAUAUAAAUGUAUCUAGUCAUUUUAUCUUAGCAAUGUUCAAAAAUGAAUGUGUCAAAUUACUAAAAUAUGACUAGAUACAUUUAUAUCUAAACAAAUUUAAGACAAGAAUUUUGGAACGGAGGGAGUACUAG
Molecule: microRNA precursor, 166 nt
Filed under: Hordeum vulgare
Lineage: Eukaryota; Viridiplantae; Streptophyta; Magnoliopsida; Poales; Poaceae
Description: microRNA MIR1122
Rfam family: MIR1120/MIR1122 microRNA precursor family
Source: RNAcentral